AUUGAACGCUGGCGGCAGGCCUAACACAUGCAAGUCGAGCGGAGCGGCGGACGGCUGAGUAAUGCCUAGGAAUCAGCCUGGUCGUGGGGGAUAACGUCCUGAAACGGGCGCUCAUACCGCAUACUAUCAGAUGAGCCUAGGUCGGAUUAGCUAGUUGGUAGGGUAAAGGCCUACCAAGGUGACGAUCCGUACCUGGUCUGAGAGGAUGAUCAGUCAAACUGGAACUGAGACACGGUCCAGACUCGUACGGGAGGCAGCAGUGGGGAAUAUUGGACAAUGGACGAAAGCCUGAUACAGCCAUGCCGCGUGUGUGAAGAAGGUCUUCGGAUUGUAAAGCACUUUAAGUUGGGAAGCGUUACCAACAGAAUAAGCACCGGCUAACUACGUGCCAGCAGCCGCGGUAAUAC
RNAcentral lists this ribosomal RNA (407 nucleotides) under uncultured bacterium. RNAcentral describes it as "partial 16S ribosomal RNA". It matches the Rfam family "Bacterial small subunit ribosomal RNA", at positions 30 to 526 of the family's 1533-position model. The record is from RNAcentral.